This is a long non-coding RNA of Dermacentor silvarum, 3456 nucleotides long. RefSeq lists it as uncharacterized. The record is from RefSeq and is a predicted model, not a curated record. The transcript is spliced from 2 exons. NCBI's taxonomy places the organism in Eukaryota, Metazoa, Arthropoda, Arachnida, Ixodida, Ixodidae.
CACGUAUCUGCGAGACAGACAGGAAGGAUAAACUGAAAUAAGAACAGGAAGUGUGAAUAGUAGGAAAUUCAGUCAGUGUUUAUUGCAGCAGUGCUGUGAAAUAUGGUGCAGAAAAAGAAUAACAUACACGUGUGUUGGGUCUUUUAUAGCAAUGAACUAUUGUCACCAGGGUCAGUUCCUUGUAUUAAUUAGUAUGUAUACGUGUGUUUGGCAUUUUUCUUAAAGCGUGUGUGAAAAAUGAAACUUACAUUGGAACCUCAAGGUAUGAGAAGGGCUCCAAAAGCAUACCAGCGUAUACCUCUGGAACAUGAAAAAAAUCAGACAUUAUAAAGGUCUGCAAUGGCAAAUCAAUACUGCAGAAGCCCGCAAGAUGGAGGAAAGUACAUGAAAGGGGAAAAUUGUCAUCCACCUGAAUUGUAGUGCGAAGCUACCAAGGUAAUCUGGACGGGUUUCUCAAAAAAAAAAAAAAAGCCUGACAUUUGAAGAAAAUUUCGUUCUAGUGGACCUGAUUCUGGUCCAGGACGAAUUUUUCUUCAACUACGAGGCUUUCUUUUCGAGAAACCUAUAUGGGUUUCCUUGUAGCUUCUUGCAACAAUUCAGGUGGAUGACAAUUUUUCCUUUACAAAGGUCUGCAAUAUAUUCAAAAUAUGUUUAUCCUGUGGUAUCUGGAAAGCACACCUGCCAAGGCAGUUUCACAUCGAAAGUGAUAGCAAGACUAAGCGUUGCAUUGACCUUCCUUUAAAAAAAAAAAUUAUGGGUUUCACGUGUCAGAACCACCGUCUGAUCAUGAGGCACACCGUAGUGGGGGACUCCGGUUCAAUUUGGAUCACCUGGGGUUCUUUAAUGUGCACCUAAAUCUAAAUACAUGGGUGUUUUCUGCAUUUCACCCCCAUCGAAAUGCGGCCGCCGUAGCUGGGACUUGAUCCCGCAACCUCGUGCUUAGCAGCCCAACACCGUAACUACCAAGCAACCAUAGCGGGUUUGACCUUCCUUGGAUGGUGUUCUAACAAUAUCUGGAGGUGACACGGGGCAACGCAGCACACGAAGCAGCUGGUGCAGUAGAGCAUAAACAGUGCCCUUGCAGCUACCAAGUAUAUCUCACAGCACUGGCAUAAUCAAUGCUGAGACAAAAGAAAACUGUUGGUGUUUUUGCAAGUUGAAGUUUACUGUCUCUUCCACUCAGACCACUGUAUGCGCACAGGUGCACAGCAGGAAUGCUAGUGUUUGCACGCACAACGCUCAUGCCAGCAACGGAAGGCAAAACACAGCCCUGGCUUUGCUGCUGAAACAGCUGAGCAGAGUGUGAUGGUGCAUUAACUUGGUUUCAUUGUUUUUGCAUUGAAAUGCAAUAACGCGUUUGUCACUUCUUUAGAGACCUUCUAACCCUCCAGGUGGGAGUGAUGACCACAGCGAUAGCAAAAACGUGCCCGAGGAAUUUGUAUAAUUGCUCUGGCAAUAAUAAAAGGACAGUAAAGGAAAUUAUGAUAGUUUGGUUGAUUGCACUCAAGAGUGAAGGCUCGAUAUGCAAGAAAAUAAUGCAAACGACAAGCUGCGACGCCAUCUAAUUCCUAAAGCCAGCCCUAGGACAUGGCAAAUCCUUUUCGGCUCCUAUGGUUUAGUACUUGUUGAUUGCUAUUAAAAGUAAUUGCAUUGCUCUCAAAUAUAGGCAAAAAGUGAACUUCGUAACAGUUGUAGAAAUUCCAGUGCUGAAAAGGCCGAAAUCUUUGAAAAUACAACGAAAUCUGUGACUUCAUGCAGUGAAAUAUCAGUGCCAAGUUUAGGCAAGAAAUUCAAGCCAUUAAAUUCGGACUUAAUUUUUAUGCUGAUAACUGGUCCUUCCAGAAGAGCAACCUACUCUCCAGCCUAAUUUAGUGUUAGCAUUCAGUGUAUACCUUCAGUGUUUCAGCACUUCUGAUUAGACGCUAACAUAUGAUGAAGAGAGCUGUUGGAUGCAUUUUCUGUGAAUAACGAUAAUUGAGAUAGUAGGAGAUUGUAUGAAAGCAUUGUCAGGCUAUGUAGUUAUGUGGUGCUGUAUAUACUAAUGUCAUGUGAUAAGUGUGUGUUCAAUUUUAUCACAUUUACCUUAUCUAAUGUCGAUGAUUUUUUGCUUCAUCCAGUAAAAUAAUUGACACGUAUAUGUAUUAAAGAAAUUAAAUAAAACUUCUUUAUAAAUGAAAUUGCCAAUACUAAAUGAUCUAACAAAGUGACAUGGCAGAAUUCCUUGGCAGUGCUUAUGAUGUAGCUAAACAGGUUUGGACAUCUGGAACUUGCCAGUGCUCUUGUAUUUUUUUUUUUUUGCAUGGAUAAACCCUAUGUUUACAAACAAAGGCACUGCAGUGUAUAGUGUAAACAGAGAGCAAACAUUUACUUUGGCCAGGUCAUGUGCUAAGGAGCACAUCACUUGGUGGCAACAGUGGUGGCAGCGGGUCACAUACACUAGUUCAGAUAGCAAAUCUGAAAUCUAGGCUGUGUGCCUAGGCUGAAUAAAUAUUCAGCUUUCCCCUUAAACCCGGCACCCUGUUAACUUCUUACACUAAGUGUACAUUAUUGUGUACUUACUGACAUUGAUGUCUCGUAUGUGAUAGGCAGCAUUUACAGUUUCCGCAUUUAUGUCUUCCCAAAUCCUGAAAUGAAAAGGAAAAGUUAAAGCACGAAUUUGAGGUCUUCCAUACUAUACUAAGUAAAGCGAAAACAAUUGUCUGCACAUGCUCUGAACCUCUUGCAUGACUAGUUGCUGAGGAAAAUAUAAAAUGGCUCGGUGGCAAAACUAAGGGCUCGGUGGCACAUGCAGCAGUAUUUCUGUGUUGUACACACAGCUUCAGAAUUAACUUUUAUGAUAAUCAUUUUAAAUGCUUCAAAGAACUAAAAGAAAUCCAUAGAAGCCAUUAUAAAGUGUUUAAUAGAGCUAAUGCUUGGCAUAUUUUUGGUUGUGUGUUUUCUUGCCCAUUUUAUGUGCCUCCAAUCACACUGAGGCAGAACAAACUUUCGAUAAUAUGUUUUUCCCCUUUUUUUGUAUUCUGUAUUAUCUUUCAGAAGGCCUUUGCAUUGACUUGUAUAGUUCUGAUGCACAUAUCAGUCAACCUCAGAGAAAGUGUGGGGGUCUUGGUAUUUUUCAUCCAUCUGAGAGCACUAUCAGAAUGGUUUUGUUCUGUAUCAAAAGCUUCCACCAAAUUUUUGACUGGUAAUGGAGAAACAACAGCAUAUUCCUUCUUGCCGCUGUUUGGAUGAAUGGAUGCACACAUUUAUUUAAGCCUUUGUCUCAAACAUAGACUACCGCUGCUUGCUUCAGCUACUCACUCUGGCUUUCUGGGCGAGAAUAGCUCUCUGGCUUGCUGGUUGUACUUUUGUACUCUGUGGUACACAAGUCGUUCAAGGAAUGGACCAUUGUUCUGUGGAGCUUUGUCCUGGAAAAGAGCAAAAGGAACAUGUUUCAAUUAAAUAGAGUGAUCAGAUAGU